CACUCCAGUACUCUUGCCUGGAAAAUCCCAUGGAUGGAGGAGCCUGAUAGGCUGCCAUCUAUGGGGUUGCGAAGAGUCCAACACGACUGAGUGACUUCACUUUCAUUUUUCACUUCCAUGCAUUGGAGAAGAAAAUGGCAACCCACUCCAGUGUUCUUGCCUGGAAAAUCCCAGGGAUGGGGGAGCCUGGUGGGCUGCCGUCUAUGGGGUCGCACAGAGUUGGACACGACUGAAGCAACUUAGCAGCAGCAGCAGCAGCAGGGAAAACCACUAGAUUGUUCAGGUAUGACCUAAAUCAAAUCACUUACAAUUAUACAGUGGAAGUGAUAAAUAGAUUCAAGGGAUUAGAUCUGAUAGAGUGCCUGAAGAACUAUGGACAGAGGUUCGUGACAUUGUACAGGAGGCAGGGGUCAAGACCAUUUUCAAGAAAAAGAAAUGCAAAAAUAGAUAAUAAAGUCUUCCUCAAUGAUCAAUGCAAAGAAAUAGAGGAAAACAAUAGAAUGGGAAAGACUAGAGAUCUCUUCAAGAAAAUUAGAGGAACCAAGGGAACAUUUCAUGCAAAGAUGGGCACAAUAAAUGACAAAAAUAGUAUGGACCUGACAGAAGCAGAAAAUAUUAAGAAGAGGUGGCAAGAAAACACAGAACUAUACAGAAAAGAUCUUCAUGACCCAGAUAACCAUGAUUGUGUGAUUACUCACCUAGAGCCAGAUACCCUGAAAUGUGAAGUCAAGUGGGCCUUAGGAAGACUCACUAUGAACAAAGCUAGUGGAGGUGAUGUAAUUCCAGUUGAGCUAUUUCAAAUCUUAAAAGAUGAUGCUGUGAAAGUGCUGCACUCAACAUGCCAGCAAAUUUGGAAAACUCAGCAGUGGCCACAGGACUGGAAAAUGUCAGUGUUAAUUCCAAUCCCAAAGAAAGACAAUGCCAAAGAAUGCUCAAACUACUGCACAACUGCACUCAUCUCACAUGCUAGCGAAGUAAUGCUCAAAAUUCUCCAAGCCAGACUUCAACAGUACAUGAAUCAUGAACUUCCAGAUGUUCAAGCUGGAUUUAGACAAGGCAGAGGAACCAGAGAUCAACUGCCAACAUCCACUGGAUCAUAGAAAAAGCAAGAGCAUUACAGAAAAACAUCUACUUCAAAAGCCAAAGCAUUUGACUGUGUGGAUCACAACAAACUGUGGAAAAUUCUUAAAGAGAUAGGAAUACCAGACCACUUGACCUGCCUCCUGAGAAAUCUGUAAGCAGGUCAAGAAGCAACAGAACCGGACAUGCAGCAAUGGACUGGUUCCAAAUUGGGAAAGGAGUACAUCAAGGCUGUAUAUUGUCACCCUGCUUAUUUAACUUAUACACAGAGUACAUCAUAUGAAAUGCCAGGCUGGAUGAAGCACAAGCUGGAAUCAAGAUUGCCGGGAGAAAUAUCAAUAAUCUGAGAUAUGCAGAUGGCACCACCCUUAUGGCAGAAAGUGAAGAAGAACUAAAGAGCCUCUUGAUAAAAAUGAAAGAGGAGAGUGAAAAAGUUGGCUUAAAGCUCAACAUUCAGAAAACUAAGAUCAUGGCAUCUGGUUCCAUUACUUCAUGGCAAAUAGAUGGGGAAACGAUGGAAACAGUGAAAGAUUGUUUUUUGGGGCUCCAAAAUCAUUGCAGAUGGUGAGUGCAGCCAUGAAAUUAAAAGAAGUUAAAAGAUGCAUGCAGUAAUUGCAAUGCAUAUGCUCUGGUUGUUGUGUAUUAUUUGCAUACACCC
Molecule: long non-coding RNA, 1738 nt
Organism: Bos taurus (domestic cattle)
Lineage: Eukaryota; Metazoa; Chordata; Mammalia; Artiodactyla; Bovidae
Source: Ensembl